AACGAACGCUGGCGGCAUGCCUAACACAUGCAAGUCGAACGAGACCUUCGGGUCUAGUGGCGCACGGGUGCGUAACGCGUGGGAAUCUGCCCUUGGGUUCGGAAUAACAGUGAGAAAUUACUGCUAAUACCGGAUGAUGUCUUCGGACCAAAGAUUUAUCGCCCAGGGAUGAGCCCGCGUAGGAUUAGCUAGUUGGUGGGGUAAUGGCCUACCAAGGCGACGAUCCUUAGCUGGUCUGAGAGGAUGAACAGCCACACUGGGACUGAGACACGGCCCAGACUCCUACGGGAGGCAGCAGUGGGGAAUAUUGGACAAUGGGCGCAAGCCUGAUCCAGCAAUGCCGCGUGAGUGAUGAAGGCCUUAGGGUUGUAAAGCUCUUUUACCCGGGAUGAUAAUGACAGUACCGGGAGAAUAAGCGCCGGCUAACUCCGUG
This 433-nucleotide ribosomal RNA is filed under the name uncultured bacterium. RNAcentral's name for it is "partial 16S ribosomal RNA". It matches the Rfam family "Bacterial small subunit ribosomal RNA", at positions 29 to 507 of the family's 1533-position model. The record is from RNAcentral.